CCUACGGGUGGCUGCAGUGGGGAAUAUUGGACAAUGGGCGAAAGCCUGAUCCAGCCAUGCCGCGUGUGUGAAGAAGGCCUUCGGGUUGUAAAGCACUUUCAGUGGGGAAGAAAGCCUUGGGGCUAAUACCCUCGAGGAAGGACAUCACCCACAGAAGAAGCACCGGCUAACUCCGUGCCAGCAGCCGCGGUAAUACGGAGGGUGCGAGCGUUAAUCGGAAUUACUGGGCGUAAAGCGCGCGUAGGCGGUCUGAUAAGCCGGUUGUGAAAGCCCCGGGCUCAACCUGGGAACGGCAUCCGGAACUGUCAGGCUAGAGUGCAGGAGAGGAAGGUAGAAUUCCCGGUGUAGCGGUGAAAUGCGUAGAGAUCGGGAGGAAUACCAGUGGCGAAGGCGGCCUUCUGGACUGACACUGACGCUGAGGUGCGAAAGCGUGGGUAGCAAACAGGAUUUAGAUACCCUUGUAGUC
RNAcentral lists this ribosomal RNA (466 nucleotides) under Vreelandella stevensii. RNAcentral's name for it is "partial 16S ribosomal RNA". It matches the Rfam family "Bacterial small subunit ribosomal RNA", at positions 338 to 795 of the family's 1533-position model. Lineage: Bacteria; Pseudomonadati; Pseudomonadota; Gammaproteobacteria; Oceanospirillales; Halomonadaceae. The record is from RNAcentral.